This 253-nucleotide ribosomal RNA is filed under the name uncultured bacterium. Its description in RNAcentral is "partial 16S ribosomal RNA". It matches the Rfam family "Bacterial small subunit ribosomal RNA", at positions 524 to 776 of the family's 1533-position model. The record is from RNAcentral.
UACGAAGGGGGCUAGCGUUGCUCGGAAUUACUGGGCGUAAAGGGCGCGUAGGCGGCUCAUUCAGUCAGAUGUGAAAUUCCUGGGCUUAACCUGGGGGCUGCAUUUGAUACGUGUGGGCUUGAGUGGGGAAGAGGGUCGUGGAAUUCCCAGUGUAGAGGUGAAAUUCGUAGAUAUUGGGAAGAACACCGGUGGCGAAGGCGGCGACCUGGUCCUUGACUGACGCUGAGGCGCGAAAGCGUGGGGAGCAAACAGG